Molecule: ribosomal RNA, 253 nt
Filed under: uncultured bacterium
Lineage: Bacteria
Description: partial 16S ribosomal RNA
Rfam family: Bacterial small subunit ribosomal RNA
Source: RNAcentral
UACGUAGGGAGCAAGCGUUGUCCGGAAUCAUUGGGCGUAAAGCGCGUGUAGGCGGUCCGGUAAGUCCGCUGUGAAAGUCGGGGGCUUAACCCUCGGAUGCCGGUGGAUACUGUCGGGCUUGAGUACGGAAGAGGCGAGUGGAAUUCCUGGUGUAGCGGUGAAAUGCGCAGAUAUCAGGAGGAACACCAAUUGCGAAGGCAGCUCGCUGGGACGUUACUGACGCUGAGACGCGAAAGCGUGGGGAGCAAACAGG